UGAGUACGAGAUGCUACGGCAUCGAAGCAGUGUAUGUCAGACUUCCAAGAAAAGCUCGCAAUGUCAUAAAUAAAUAAUGCCUGUACCAUAACCGACACAGGUGGGUAGGUAGAGUAUACUAAGGGGCGCGAGAUAACUCUCUCUAAGGAACUCGGCAAAAUGACUCCGUAACUUCGGGAGAAGGAGUACCUUAUUUAUAAGGUUGCAAUAACAAGAUCCAAGCAACUGUUUACCAAAAACACAGGUCUCCGCUAAGUCGUAAGACGAUGUAUGGGGGCUGACGCCUGCCCAGUGCCAGAAGGUUAAAGAAGUUGGUUAGCAUUAGCGAAGCUGAUGACUGAAGCCCUGGUGAACGGCGGCCGUAACAAUAACGGUCCUAAGGUAGCGAAAUUCCUUGUCGGGUAAGUUCCGACCCGCACGAAAGGCGUAAUGAUUUGGAUACUGUCUCGGAGAGGGGCUCGGUGAAAUAGACUUGUCUGUGAAGAUGCGGACUACCUGCACCAGGACAGAAAGACCCUAUGAAGCUUUACUGUAACCUGAAAUUGAAAUUGGACUUUAUUUGCGCAGUAUAGGUGGGAGGCGUUGAGAAUAUUCUUGCGGGAAUAUUGGAGCCAUCAGUGAGAUACCACUCUUGUAAUGUUAGAUUUCUAACUUUGAAUCAUAAUCUGGUCAAAGAACAGUUUCAGGCGGGCAGUUUGACUGGGGCGGUCGCCUCCCAAAUGGUAACGGAGGCGUACAAAGGUUUCCUCUGAACGUGUAGAAAUCGUAUCUAGAGUGUAAAGGCAUAAGGAAGCUUGACUGUGAGACCUACAAGUCGAGCGGGGACGAAAGUCGGUCUUAGUGAUCUGACGGUGCUGAGUGGAAAGGCCGUCACUCAACGGAUAAAAGUUACUCUAGGAUAACAGGCUGAUCUCCCCCAAGAGUUCACAUCGACGGGGAGGUUUGGCACCUCGAUGUCGGCUCAUCGCAUCCUGGGGCGGUAGUACGUCCCAAGGGUUGGGCUGUUCGCCCAUGAAAGCGGUACGCGAGCUGGGUUCAGAACGUCGUGAGACAGUUCGGUCCAUAUCCGGUGUAGGCGUUAGAAUAUUGAGAGGAGCCUUCUUUAGUACGAGAGGACCGAGAAGGACAUACCUCUGGUGUACCAGUUAUCGUGCCAACGGUAAACGCUGGGUAGCUAUGUGUGGAGAGGAUAACCGCUGAAAGCAUCUAAGUGGGAAGCCCACCUCAAGAUAAGUAUUCUC
RNAcentral lists this ribosomal RNA (1241 nucleotides) under metagenome. RNAcentral's name for it is "bacterial LSU rRNA". It matches the Rfam family "Bacterial large subunit ribosomal RNA", at positions 1564 to 2815 of the family's 2925-position model. The record is from RNAcentral.